Long non-coding RNA from Brassica napus (rape), 590 nucleotides. RefSeq lists it as uncharacterized. Lineage: Eukaryota; Viridiplantae; Streptophyta; Magnoliopsida; Brassicales; Brassicaceae. The transcript has 2 exons. The record is from RefSeq and is a predicted model, not a curated record.
AGGGACUUUCGCAACGGCUAUAUUUCUCAAAGGUUUGAGUCUGGUCUCGAUCGCCACAAAACGCGUGCAUUUCUCCUAACGGUAAUAAUGUUUGAAUCGAACCGGUCUUGCAACCCCUAAACCGGUCGUGCAAGUUCUUCUCGAAGAUGGUGCCUUAGCUAUACUAACUGAUGAAGAAGAAAGACGAUAUCACUGAUUAGUCUUAAAGACAGAUCUUUGCUUUUUGCGUGAGGCUCCAGUUCUAGACUGAAGUUGAUAUUGGAGUAUGGGCUACAACUGUAGAGCUAGACGCCAUGUGCGUGCGUGAGCUGGUUAUGUGAAAUUGAUAGAUCUUACUUGUACUGCCCCGGAAUGCUUGUGACGUUGAUACUUAACAACAUGGUUCUUGUUGAUGUUUCUUCACUAGUGUUUCUCAAGAGAAUUGAGUCUUGUUGAUGGUUCUUGUUGAUGUUUCUUGCAUGAUGAUGAAGAUGGGGUUGUACUGGUGGUUUUGAGAAUGAAAUGCCUUACCAUUGUGAAGGCACAUAUUGACUAUUGGUAUAGUCAUUCUGGGUUCUAUUAAAUCAGUCAAGGAUCUCUGUUUAUGUUUA